GUUGAGCAUAGCAUUCUUCCUUUAAUUUUUCAUCUUUUACCAUAUCACUAGGAAGAAUCACUUUGAACUUUCCUUCUUCAUCCAACUCUCCAGCUCCCCUUGUUUUGAACUUUCCAUUUUCCGGCUUGCAGUCGAUGGUUACACGAAGCCCUGAAAGUGCCUGGCUGGUCUGAAUGUUGCUUUCUGCACAGUCUGCACAUUCCCCUAUUCCAAUUACCUCCACUGUAGUACUCUUAUCAUUAUCACCAUAGGAGGAGGUUGCAGAAAACAGUGCAGAUACGUAGAAGCACAGAAGUGCUGCUCGAAAAAGGGGGAGAAUCCCCAUUGGGAAAACACCAAUGCCUCCUAAAAAUAAAGAAAACCAAGAACACCCCACAAAAACCAACUUUUUAGAAGCUUAGAGCUUCUAUUUGUGUUGCUCUAUGGCAGGAG
Molecule: unclassified non-coding RNA, 432 nt
Filed under: Hevea brasiliensis (rubber tree)
Lineage: Eukaryota; Viridiplantae; Streptophyta; Magnoliopsida; Malpighiales; Euphorbiaceae
Source: RNAcentral